UGGGGAAUUUUGGACAAUGGGGGCAACCCUGAUCCAGCAAUGCCGCGUGUGUGAAGAAGGCCUUCGGGUUGUAAAGCACUUUUGUCCGGGAAGAAAUCGCACCUGAUAAUACCGGGUGUGGAUGACGGUACCGGAAGAAUAAGGACCGGCUAACUACGUGCCAGCAGCCGCGGUAAUACGUAGGGUCCAAGCGUUAAUCGGAAUUACUGGGCGUAAAGCGUGCGCAGGCGGUUGUGCAAGACCGAUGUGAAAUCCCCGGGCUUAACCUGGGAAUUGCAUUUGUGACUGCACGGCUAGAGUGUGUCAGAGGGGGGUAGAAUUCCACGUGUAGCAGUGAAAUGCGUAGAGAUGUGGAGGAAUACCGAUGGCGAAGGCAGCCCCCUGGGAUAACACUGACGCUCAUGCACGAAAGCGUGGGGAGCAAACAGG
This 429-nucleotide ribosomal RNA is filed under the name bacterium. RNAcentral's name for it is "partial 16S ribosomal RNA". It matches the Rfam family "Bacterial small subunit ribosomal RNA", at positions 355 to 776 of the family's 1533-position model. The record is from RNAcentral.